Molecule: ribosomal RNA, 486 nt
Filed under: uncultured bacterium
Lineage: Bacteria
Description: partial 16S ribosomal RNA
Rfam family: Bacterial small subunit ribosomal RNA
Source: RNAcentral
AUUGAACGCUGGCGGCAUGCCUUACACAUGCAAGUCGAACGGCAGCACGGGUGCUUGCACCUGGUGGCGAGUGGCGAACGGGUGAGUAAUACAUCGGAACAUGUCCUGUAGCGGGGGAUAGCCCGGCGAAAGCCGGAUUAAUACCGCAUACGAUCUACGGAUGAAAGCGGGGGCCCUUCGGGCCUCGCGCUAUAGGGUUGGCCGAUGGCUGAUUAGCUAGUUGGUGGGGUAAAGGCCUACCAAGGCGACGAUCAGUAGCUGGUCUGAGAGGACGACCAGCCACACUGGGACUGAGACACGGCCCAGACUCCUACGGGAGGCAGCAGUGGGGAAUUUUGGACAAUGGGCGAAAGCCUGAUCCAGCAAUGCCGCGUGUGUGAAGAAGGCCUUCGGGUUGUAAAGCACUUUUGUCCGGAAAGAAAUCCUUGGCCCUAAUACGGUCGGGGGAUGACGGUACCGGAAGAAUAAGCACCGGCUAACUACGUG